This 484-nucleotide ribosomal RNA is filed under the name uncultured bacterium. RNAcentral describes it as "partial 16S ribosomal RNA". It matches the Rfam family "Bacterial small subunit ribosomal RNA", at positions 30 to 507 of the family's 1533-position model. The record is from RNAcentral.
AUUGAACGCUGGCGGCAGGCCUAACACAUGCAAGUCGAGCGGAUGAAGGGAGCUUGCUCCUGGAUUCAGCGGCGGACGGGUGAGUAAUGCCUAGGAAUCUGCCUGGUAGUGGGGGAUAACGUCCGGAAACGGGCGCUAAUACCGCAUACGUCCUGAGGGAGAAAGAGGGGGAUCUUCGGACCUCACGCUAUCAGAUGAGCCUAGGUCGGAUUAGCUAGUUGGUGGGGUAAAGGCCUACCAAGGCGACGAUCCGUAACUGGUCUGAGAGGAUGAUCAGUCACACUGGAACUGAGACACGGUCCAGACUCCUACGGGAGGCAGCAGUGAGGAAUAUUGGACAAUGGGCGAAAGCCUGAUCCAGCCAUGCCGCGUGUGUGAAGAAGGUCUUCGGAUUGUAAAGCACUUUAAGUUGGGAGGAAGGGCAGUAAGUUAAUACCUUGCUGUUUUGACGUUACCAACAGAAUAAGCACCGGCUAACUUCGUG